RNAcentral lists this ribosomal RNA (520 nucleotides) under uncultured bacterium. RNAcentral describes it as "bacterial SSU rRNA". It matches the Rfam family "Bacterial small subunit ribosomal RNA", at positions 8 to 518 of the family's 1533-position model. The record is from RNAcentral.
AGGGUUCGAUUCUGGCUCAGGAUGAACGCUAGCUACAGGCUUAACACAUGCAAGUCGAGGGGCAGCAUUGGAGUAGCAAUACUUCAGAUGGCGACCGGCGCACGGGUGAGUAACACGUAUCCAACCUGCCGCUUACUCGGGGAUAGCCUUUCGAAAGAAAGAUUAAUACCCGAUGGUAUAAAGAGUUCGCAUGUUCUCUUUAUUAAAGAAUUUCGGUAAGCGAUGGGGAUGCGUUCCAUUAGAUUGUUGGCGGGGUAACGGCCCACCAAGUCUACGAUGGAUAGGGGUUCUGAGAGGAAGGUCCCCCACAUUGGAACUGAGACACGGUCCAAACUCCUACGGGAGGCAGCAGUGAGGAAUAUUGGUCAAUGGACGCGAGUCUGAACCAGCCAAAAGUAGCGUGAAGGAUGACUGCCCUAUGGGUUGUAAACUUCUUUUAUAAGGGAAUAAAGUGAGGGACGUGUCCCUUUUUGUAUGUACCUUAUGAAUAAGGAUCGGCUAACUCCGUGCCAGCCGCCGC